CCUACGGGUGGCAGCAGUGAGGAAUAUUGGUCAAUGGACGAGAGUCUGAACCAGCCAAGCAGCGUGAAGGAAGACUGCCCUAUGGGUUGUAAACUUCUUUUAUAUGGGAAUAAAAUGUUCCACGUGUGGGAUUUUGUAUGUACCAUAUGAAUAAGGAUCGGCUAACUCCGUGCCAGCAGCCGCGGUAAUACGGAGGAUCCGAGCGUUAUCCGGAUUUAUUGGGUUUAAAGGGAGCGUAGGUGGAUUGUUAAGUCAGUUGUGAAAGUUUGCGGCUCAACCGUAAAAUUGCAGUUGAAACUGGCAGUCUUGAGUACAGUAGAGGUGAGCGGAAUUCGUGGUGUAGCGGUGAAAUGCUUAGAUAUCACGAAGAACUCCGAUGGCGAAGGCAGUUCACUGGACUGCAACUGACACUGAGGCUCGAAAGUGUGGGUAUCAAACAGGAUUAGAUACCCCUGUAGUC
Molecule: ribosomal RNA, 460 nt
Filed under: uncultured bacterium
Lineage: Bacteria
Description: partial 16S ribosomal RNA
Rfam family: Bacterial small subunit ribosomal RNA
Source: RNAcentral